AAAUGCUUAUCUUUGACAGAUACGCGUAUUUCGACUACCACUUGCAGUCUUCUUCAGUAUCAGUUACUCGUAUCCACUGUGUUUGCAAGUGGUAGUCGAAAUACGCGUAUCUGUCAAAGAUAAGCAUUUA
RNAcentral lists this microRNA precursor (130 nucleotides) under Aedes aegypti (yellow fever mosquito). RNAcentral's name for it is "pre miRNA AAEL028812". Lineage: Eukaryota; Metazoa; Arthropoda; Insecta; Diptera; Culicidae. The record is from RNAcentral.